UGGGGAAUAUUGCACAAUGGGCGCAAGCCUGAUGCAGCCAUGCCGCGUGUAUGAAGAAGGCCUUCGGGUUGUAAAGUACUUUCAGCGGGGAGGAAGGGAGUAAAGUUAAUACCUUUGCUCAUUGACGUUACCCGCAGAAGAAGCACCGGCUAACUCCGUGCCAGCAGCCGCGGUAAUACGGAGGGUGCAAGCGUUAAUCGGAAUUACUGGGCGUAAAGCGCACGCAGGCGGUUUGUUAAGUCAGAUGUGAAAUCCUCGGGCUCAACCUGGGAACUGCAUCGGAUACUGGCAAGCUUGAGUCUCGUAGAGGGGGGUAGAAUUCCAGGUGUAGCGGUGAAAUGCGUAGAGAUCUGGAGGAAUACCGGUGGCGAAGGCGGCCCCCAGGACGAAGACUGACGCUAAGGUGCGAAAGCGUGGGGAGCAAACAGG
This 429-nucleotide ribosomal RNA is filed under the name Chloroflexota bacterium. RNAcentral's name for it is "Chloroflexi bacterium partial 16S ribosomal RNA". It matches the Rfam family "Bacterial small subunit ribosomal RNA", at positions 355 to 776 of the family's 1533-position model. Lineage: Bacteria; Bacillati; Chloroflexota. The record is from RNAcentral.